RNAcentral lists this ribosomal RNA (256 nucleotides) under uncultured bacterium. Its description in RNAcentral is "partial 16S ribosomal RNA". It matches the Rfam family "Bacterial small subunit ribosomal RNA", at positions 96 to 353 of the family's 1533-position model. The record is from RNAcentral.
CGGCGGACGGGUGAGUAAUGUCUGGGAAACUGCCUGAUGGAGGGGGAUAACCACUGGAAACGGUAGCUAAUACCGCAUAACGUCGCAAGACCAAAGAGGGGGACCUUCGGGCCUCUUGCCAUCAGAUGUGCCCAGAUGGGAUUAGCUAGUAGGUGGGGUAACGGCUCACCUAGGCGACGAUCCCUAGCUGGUCUGAGAGGAUGACCAGCCACACUGGAACUGAGACACGGUCCAGACUCCUACGGGAGGCAGCAUG